This is a long non-coding RNA of Nannospalax galili (Upper Galilee mountains blind mole rat), 1050 nucleotides long. RefSeq lists it as uncharacterized. The transcript is spliced from 2 exons. NCBI's taxonomy places the organism in Eukaryota, Metazoa, Chordata, Mammalia, Rodentia, Spalacidae. The record is from RefSeq and is a predicted model, not a curated record.
UCCUCCAGUUCCUCCACUUUCCCUGGUUCUCUAGGUCUUCAACUUCAAUCGACCCCCUAAGCCAGUUCUCCUAGCCCCCCUUCUGGGAAGCUGCGCACCGUGGUCCCGAGAGGCCCCUCUCGCGUGGCUCCUGUAUCCUCUAAGCCCUUUCCGUGCCGGGGCCACGCGGUUCCCCACGGCCCACGUGGCCCCCGCCCCCCAAAGGAGGGGGGAUUUCGGGGGUUGCCCGUGACGUGGCUACUUGCGCAGCGGAAGCGGUGUGUGUGGGGGGGGGGUCCUUCGGGAGGGAGGAAGGCGGGGCCCAACAGGCAGUGACAUCACCCUUGUCCCACUCACGCCGCCUACUCCCUUAAAGAACCCAGAAUCCGUUUCACUUCCUCCUUCACGCAACCCCCCCCCUUCCCGUCUGUGUGGACGCGACCCACCACCGACACAGCACUCCCUUCUCCUAGGCACCUUCCCUUUGUCCCAACUCUUCCUUCUCGCCUCUCAAGAGCCCAGACGCUGCGUCCCGGCGCCUACCCCAAGUCCUGGCAGAGGCAAGGUCGUUUGUUUGCAUGGAAGUGCUUGGGUCCCACCGAUUCCCGGCGCGCGGCUCGGCGCGAGCCCAGGUAGGAACUGGCGCCUCGCCCUGCCGUUCGCGUGGAGCUCUGGUCCAAACACCCGGAGGCCGCGGUCUACCAGUUACCAAGUCGACGCUAAACUGUGGACAGUAAGAGCCCAGAUGGGCUGCUCCAGCCAAGCCCUGCGAGGACCGAGUGACCAGACGUGGGCCAAGGCACCUUAGGGGACCAGAGACGAAAGGAGCAGAUCCCUACUAAGGAAGUGGUGCCCCAGCGCUGCCAGUUACCAGGAAAUGCAGCUUCCCUUUCUGCGAUGAUGACACUUCCCCUCUGCCACUUCCCCUUUCCCACGGGGAACUGACUCAGCUUUCCCUAAACUGGUGAAUUCCGUCUCUCCAGCCCUCUGAUCUUCAACCUUUAUCUACACCCUCCCACGGCUACACCCCGGAAUACGGAGUGCUCCAUAACUAAACUUCCUGUACUCUAA